This 86-nucleotide ribosomal RNA is filed under the name Enterocytozoon bieneusi. RNAcentral describes it as "partial small subunit ribosomal RNA". It matches the Rfam family "Microsporidia small subunit ribosomal RNA", at positions 1225 to 1310 of the family's 1311-position model. Lineage: Eukaryota; Fungi; Microsporidia; Enterocytozoonidae. The record is from RNAcentral.
GAAGAGCUUCGGCUCUGAAUAUCUAUGGCUAGAUAAAGUACAAGUCGUAACAAGGUUUCAGUUGGAGAACCAGCUGAAGGAUCAUU